Molecule: ribosomal RNA, 800 nt
Filed under: uncultured bacterium
Lineage: Bacteria
Description: bacterial SSU rRNA
Rfam family: Bacterial small subunit ribosomal RNA
Source: RNAcentral
AGAGUUUGAUCAUGGCUCAGAUUGAACGCUGGCGGCAGGCCUAACACAUGCAAGUCGAGCGGCAGCGGGACCUUCGGGUUGCCGGCGAGCGGCGGACGGGUGAGUAAUGCCUAGGAAUCUGCCUGUUAGUGGGGGAUAACGCGGGGAAACUCGCGCUAAUACCGCAUACGUCCUACGGGAGAAAGUGGGGGACCCUCGGGCCUCACGCUAACAGAUGAGCCUAGGUCGGAUUAGCUAGUUGGUGGGGUAAAGGCCCACCAAGGCGACGAUCCGUAACUGGUCUGAGAGGAUGAUCAGUCACACUGGAACUGAGACACGGUCCAGACUCCUACGGGAGGCAGCAGUGGGGAAUAUUGGACAAUGGGCGAAAGCCUGAUCCAGCCAUGCCGCGUGUGUGAAGAAGGUCUUCGGAUUGUAAAGCACUUUAAGUUGGGAGGAAGGGCGCUCGGUGAAUACCCAAGCGUCUUGACGUUACCGACAGAAUAAGCACCGGCUAACUUCGUGCCAGCAGCCGCGGUAAUACGAAGGGUGCAAGCGUUAAUCGGAAUUACUGGGCGUAAAGCGCGCGUAGGUGGUUCGGCAAGUUGGAUGUGAAAGCCCCGGGCUCAACCUGGGAACCGCAUCCAAAACUACUGGGCUAGAGUACGGUAGAGGGUGGUGGAAUUUCCUGUGUAGCGGUGAAAUGCGUAGAUAUAGGAAGGAACACCAGUGGCGAAGGCGACCACCUGGACCGAUACUGACACUGAGGUGCGAAAGCGUGGGGGAGCAAACAGGAUUAGAUACCCUGGUAGUCCACGCCG